Molecule: ribosomal RNA, 166 nt
Filed under: Carex disperma
Lineage: Eukaryota; Viridiplantae; Streptophyta; Magnoliopsida; Poales; Cyperaceae
Also listed under: 1 other name
Description: 5.8S ribosomal RNA
Rfam family: 5.8S ribosomal RNA
About the family: 5.8S ribosomal RNA (5.8S rRNA) is a component of the large subunit of the eukaryotic ribosome. It is transcribed by RNA polymerase I as part of the 45S precursor that also contains 18S and 28S rRNA.
Source: RNAcentral
AAUAUGACUCUCGGCAACGGAUAUCUCGGCUCUCGCAUCGAUGAAGAACGUAGCGAAAUGCGAUACGUGGUGUGAAUUGCAGAAUCCCGUGAACCAUCGAGUCUUUGAACGCAAGUUGCGCCCGAGGGAUCCUCCCAAGGGCACGCCUGCCUCAUGGGCGUUAGAA